Molecule: ribosomal RNA, 468 nt
Filed under: uncultured bacterium
Lineage: Bacteria
Description: partial 16S ribosomal RNA
Rfam family: Bacterial small subunit ribosomal RNA
Source: RNAcentral
GACGAACGCUGGCGGCGUGCUUAACACAUGCAAGUCGAACGGAAAGGCCCUGCUUUUGUGGGGUGCUCGAGUGGCGAACGGGUGAGUAACACGUGAGUAACCUGCCCUUGACUUUGGGAUAAAUUCAGGAAACUGGGGCUAAUACCGGAUAGGAGCUCCUGCUGCAUGGUGGGGGUUGGAAAGUUUCGGCGGUUGGGGAUGGACUCGCGGCUUAUCAGCUUGUUGGUGGGGUAGUGGCUUACCAAGGGUUUGAGGGGUAGCCGGCCUGGGAGGGUGACCGGCCACAUUGGGACUGAGAGACGGCCCAGACUCCUACGGGAGGCAGCAGUGGGGAGUAUUGCACAAUGGGGGGAAGCCUGAUGCAGCAACGCCGCGUGCGGAAUAACGGCCUUCGGGUUGUAAACCGCUUUCGCCUGAGACGAAGCGUGAGUGACGGUAACUGGUAAAGAAGCACCGGCUAACUACGUG